RNAcentral lists this long non-coding RNA (274 nucleotides) under Cyanoderma ruficeps (rufous-capped babbler). RNAcentral describes it as "lncRNA (ENSCRFG00000006575.1)". Lineage: Eukaryota; Metazoa; Chordata; Aves; Passeriformes; Timaliidae. The record is from RNAcentral.
GCCAGAAAAGCAUAAGGUCUGGGAGAUGUGCUUCAUCCUGAGACACUGAAGAAGCCCAUUUUACUAUAGGCUAGAAGGAGACUUCACCAUAAUAUGUAAGGCCAUUCAUGGAAAUGAUGCUACAAAUGAAGUUCAAUAAGGUUCUCCACAGGCACUUCAGUCUCCUCCACUGCUAAGUGGGUCUAUUAACAGCUACAACAGAGCAAGGAAAGACUACAGGAGAGUCACGACGGCAAGUAUCUUGCUUGUUCCUGCUGUGGCGUGCGUUAAAGGC